GAUCCUGCUCAGGAUGAACGCUAGCUACAGGCUUAACACAUGCAAGUCGAGGGGCAGCAUUUCAGUUUGCUUGCAAACUGGAGAUGGCGACCGGCGCACGGGUGAGUAACACGUAUCCAACCUGCCGAUAACUCGGGGAUAGCCUUUCGAAAGAAAGAUUAAUACCCGAUAGUAUAAUUAGACCGCAUGGUCUUAUUAUUAAAGAAUUUCGGUUAUCGAUGGGGAUGCGUUCCAUUAGGCAGUUGG
This 246-nucleotide ribosomal RNA is filed under the name uncultured bacterium. Its description in RNAcentral is "partial 16S ribosomal RNA". It matches the Rfam family "Bacterial small subunit ribosomal RNA", at positions 15 to 252 of the family's 1533-position model. The record is from RNAcentral.